GCUCAUAUACAAAAUACUUACAUAAAUUUUUCAAACGGAAAUCCAGCAGCAUUACGACAUACAAAUCAUGUCGAACCUGCAGAUCAAUCUAGAUCGAUUUCAACGUAAUAAAAAAUAAAACAACACAUAUAGUCCCAGAUGUUUACAUUAUUAAAACACAUUACAAAAUCCAAAAAAUAAAAAUGAUCCAACAGAAUCACAAUGAAAUCAAACACAAUCCAUAAUAAAAAUAUAAUCGCAAUGUAAAAUUAUUGAACACAAUAAAACUAAAAAAACAUCGAAAUUGAAGCGUUACCAAACGAGUUACGUUGAUAUUGUUGUUUUUGGAGUCGAGAUGAGAGCGAAGUAAAGGUGUUGUUUGUUGGAAGUUGUUGAGAGAAAGAUGUGGUCGGACAAAGUUUUAAUGCAGUUCGCCAGAGAUGUUGAAGGGUUAUUGCCAACGUGUUGUUUGGUGUGGUGAGAGGUCAUUGUGUUUUGGCGGUGAAGGAAAAUUAUGAGUGUAUCCGGAACAUGGAAGCAUUUAGGCAGAGGAAGGUUGAAUAUGGCUUGUUGUGUGGUGACACAGUGGUAUUCGGUUUGUCGGAGUUGGUGAUUGUGAGGUGGGAAUGAGCGUAAGCCAUCGGUUGUAGUGGAUGUUGCGUUUUUUCGUCGUUGGCAUUUUGGAUGGAGGAAUAUGUUGGAUGGAAGUGAGUAUAGUUUUUUGUUAAGACGAAAAGGAAAUGUUGUUGUAAGCUAGUAAGAGGGAGUGUAUGAUGAAGAUGGUGUUGUGUGUUUACUACGUGGAAGAAGAAAUUUGAGAGGGUGAGUUAUGUGUAUGGUGGGUUAUGAGAAAGAUGUGAGGUUUGUGUGUUUUCACUCUUGGAGGAAGAAAAACAAAGAGGCGGGCUUUAAUGAAAAACCACUUUCUCUAACCAACCAUGAGCGUGAUCCCCUUCUCCCCUUCUCCCCUUUUCACUUUCUUUUUUCUUUUUCUUCUUUUGAUUUCAAAAGUUGAGAGAGAGAGAGAGAGAGUAGGCACAAUUGCCCUCCUCAUGAGCUGAUAACUUUAACAUUAUAUUGCAUUAGUUUUAGGGUUAAGAUUUGAAAUUAAUUCCCACAAUACCCUUCGAUCUAAAUGUAUGAUUAAUUGGGCAUGGUUUGACAAAAUAUAGUCUAUCAAAAAUAAUUUUAUAAAACUAAUAAAAAAAAUAAACCAUUUUAUUAUAUAUAUAUAUAUAUAUAAUGAUCAAAAACAUAAAAUGAAUGCAUUAAAAUAAUCUACGUGAAAUAUAAUUCAAUAAAACAGACAGUCAGAGAUCAAAUCUCGCAAUUAAAAAUACUCGGAUGAAAAGGCUUAGACUGGUAAAAAUGUGAACGCACGAAUAUGCGAAAAAAAACUAAACGAGCAUGUCAAAUGACCUACGCGACACGUAGAUAAAAUAGACAGUUGUAGGCCCGAACUUAAAUUUUUUCACUCGCUAAUUUUAUGCCCGAUUGAAAAUUGCUUGAAACAUGGUCUAUUUGUAAAACCAAAAUUUUAUUUUGGUUGACUUUUGGAAUUUAUGCCUACUUAAAUGCAUGUAAUGAUAUAAAAAUGAUUCAAAUGUCAUGAUGAAUGAAUCAGUUUAUUGAUCUAGGGGGAAAUUAGGAUAUGAAAUUAGUCUCUUGCUUAUUUGUUCUUACUUUGUUUCCUUUGUGUGCUUUUUUAUUUAUGCUUUAGUUUCCAUCUUGUACCCCAAUAUGCUUCGAAUUAAAUGUAAUUUUUUCUUUUCCCUUUCUAAAUGUCUAUGUAAUCUACGUGCUUGUAUCUUUAAAUUUACAUUUUGCAUCUUUAUCCGUCAUUUUAAUUAUGACAAAGGGGAAUAUCCAUACUCUCAAGAGAGUAGAGUAUACUAUCUACUCAUGUGAUGGGGCGUAACACUCAAAUUUUAUCUAUAUGUAUUUUCCUUUACUACCUCCCCAAGAUAUGUGUUGUCAUCAUCAAAGAGAGGGAGAAUGUGGAACUAUGUGCUUGCAGGUUUAAUCACGAAGUGAUCAAAGAUAAGCAAGAUAUCCAUAGACCCGUCAACACCAUGGUUUUGAUGAUGACCACUCAAACUUUGAAGAUGAAUUUGAUGACAACUCAUGAAGAUGACUUUGAUGACAACAACACAUAAAGAAAAUCAAGUGCUAAAAUAGUUUCAAGCGAUCAAAGAUUCAUAAGAUAGUUGAUCAAGCUCUUCCGUCGAAUAAUUCCAAUGAGUAAGGGUUAAAUGAUCAUUGUUAUAUACUCUGAUGAUGACAUCCGACUUCAAGAUAUUUUAAGCCUCAUAUACAAGAAGAAUUAAGUGAUGUUAUUAUAUGAUUGGUGUAUACGGUAAAAGGCUUAAAGCUUUAGCGUGUGAAAGAGAGAAAGUGUGAAAGCUACCUUAAUCGUGUCAGAGUGACCAAUGUUAUGUAAAAACACAAGGAUGUUCUCGUAUAUAAUAUGAAUGAAUUACACACUCUAAAAAUAUUUUUGAAGCCUCUAUUUUUUAAAAUACAAACACCUAAAUUAUUUUUAAGCUUAUCUAGAUGAGUCUGAAACCGUCAGAAUGAUUAACACAUGUUUUUUGACUUGUCUAAUCGAUUAGACCAUAUACCCAAUCCAUUAGAUAAGGGUAUAAUGAGUCUACAAUCGAUUAUGAAAGUGCAUUAAUGAUGGGAAACAACUUUCUAUUUAAAACUUCCAAAAUGGGUUCAAACAAUCGAUUAUUUAUGUCAUCUAAUCGAUUAGGUUAAAGACCUAAUCAAUUAGGUAAUUAAUUUAGCCCAUGAAUCGUUUCCUUUUUUGAACCAUCAUUUAUCCUAUAAAUAGAGGAAUUACCUUUAACUUUUCCACAUCCAUAAUAGUGAUUUAUCUUACCUUCGUCCUUCUUUCUCUCUCACUAAAAUAGUUUCUCUUUCUCUCACAUAAUUUUAGCCAUAGUGCUUUGAGAAAUGUUUAUGUGUUUAAGUGAGAGAUUUGUUAUAUAAAGGUUAAUGUUUUAAAUUUUAACAAGAGUUCUUUUUCCUCUUGAGUGAAUCUUUAUUCCUUAGGAUUUUUUUGUUUGGGUUUGAAGUUAAAUCCAUUAAAAGCUCGUUUAGGGGAUUAAUGUUAAGUCUCUGUUAGGUUCAUGAGUUCAACCACUUAAGGAAAAACUCUAUUUCUUGGUUCUUGAAGAUAACCAGUGAAGAAUAUUUGUAUUGUUUCAUGAGCUAUUCCCGGUGUAAAAUCUCAAUUGGUUCGAGAUUAGUCUGAUGUAAAAUCUCGGUUUGGUUCGUGGUUAGCCCAUGUAAAACCUUGAUUCAAUUUGGAAGAUAGACAAUUCAAAACUCCGCCUUGGUUCAAGAUAAGUCCAUACAAAAUUUUGGUUUUGCUUAGAGACUAACCGCUUGAAGUUUUGUUUGUUGUUUGACAUGAAUACUAACUUCUUCAUUCCAUUGUUCGUUGUUUGACAUGAAUACUAACUUCUUCAUUCCAUUGUUCGUUGUUUGGUUGGAAGUAAACCUGAAACUUCACAUUUUCUUGUACUAGGGGGUUCAUGAGUCUAACCUUCUAAAAUUUUAUAAGCAUCAUUGGAAACUAAGGAUUAAUUCUUAGGGAGAGGAGUAGGUCACGUCUUUAUACCGAACCUCGAUAAAUCUCAGUUGUCGUCUCUUUUUCCUUAACUCUUUAUUUUUUGCUUAUUGUUUUUACAUUAUUUUUCCACUGCAUAUUCAAACGUUUCAUUUGAAAACGUUUUAAAACUCUAAUUCAUAAAAUAUUUUUGUUUUAAAAUAUUUUUUUUAAAACUCCCACAAUUCAUCCCUCAUCUUGUGUGUGAAGUCGCAUGUUCAACAAAAACCUCUAAUAGACCUACAAUAUAAGGGGUUGUCAUAUAUUAUACUUUUAUAAAGUAUAAUUGGCGCCUACCGUAGGGCUCGGUAAAGUUGAUUUGAGCCACAAUUACAACAUUCAACUAGAUUGCUAUCCUCAUGUUCAACUCCUUUGAAAUUCAUGGUGAACAAGAUUGUAGCAACUCCAACCAACAAUGAGUCCGACAACAAGGUGAAUGCCAUGGCAGAGAUGUGUGUUGCCAUGGAUGACUUAUGCCGCUAAAAUCAAACUUUGGAGGAAAACAUUCUCCGAAUCCAACAAUUCUAGGAGGAUGUCGACCCUCUAGAAUAAAUUGAAAACUCCUACUUGAGCUUGUGAAGCCUAUACACGACUGAUCCAAAAUUAUUUACUGUUACAAUUGCACUGCAUUUAACUUCUUGGUGUUUCUAUAUGUCAGUUUCUGUGCUGAUUUGGACAAAUGGUUCUGUCCAAGAACUCAUGACGAGAUUUUAUGUUACAAGUGGUCAUAAUUGUUUUCCUUAUGCUCCAAGCUUUAAUGUCAAAGUACAUUAGGAUGGUGAACACCAGAUACUUUUAGAAUAUUAUAAGUAUGAAAUUGCUUUUAAGUUGUGCUCUCAUUCAUGAAAAAUAUUAUAAUUUUAAUUUUUGUAAUCAAAUCGAUGCUUAAUUAUCAACAAUUAUGAUAAAUAUUAUAGUUUUAAUUUUUUUUAAUUACACCAAUGCUUAUUUAUCAACAAUUAUGAUAAUGUUUAAGAUGGAUACUUUUUUAUAAUUUAUAGUCUAAUUAGUUUUGAUUAGAAAAUUAAAAAUCUUAUCUAACUUACCUAGUUUUGAUUAGAAAAUUUUAAAAAAUUAUCUAGCCAAAUUUAGCUUGAGAUUCACUAUGAUACUUUUGAGGCGAUAUUGUAGCUGAGUAGUUUGGAAACAUAAAAGUAAAACUGAUAAUUUGCUACGUUUUAGUUAUUGUUUAGCUAUGAAAUGUUAGAAAACUCUAGCUAAUUAGCCAUCCAAUCCAAACUAUGGAAUAUAAUUUUUUUAGAGAUUCACUUCAAAUUCGCUACGGUUUUAAUCGUAGCUAAUCACAGAUCUUCUUGUAGUGUUCUUCUUACACAUUCACAUCUUGAAGAAAUACACUUCCGUUUUAAAGGUCUAUAACAUACUUUGUUGAAACAAUCUUUAUCAGUUUCGCAAGGGGAUGCAAAAUCUACGAUGUCAAAUAAAAAUAAAAGAUUGUUGCUAAGAAAUGAUUAAAUAGUGUGCAUAUGUUAUAAAAGAAAAUUUGAAAAUGGUAGUGAAGAAAUGACCUACAGUUGUGAGGUGUUGUACGCCAUAAGGGUUUUGCAGCUUUGGCUUCUACAAGAAACAAACAAAGAGAUACUAUCAAAUAAUAAACACAUUUGAGAAUUUGACUCAUAUUUUUCCUCCUUUAGUUAAUCAUUUUAAAGUUUGUAAUUAACUUAUAUAAGUAAAAAUUAAUACUACCUCCGUUUUUUUGUCAGUUGUUUUGAAAAACUAUUUUGUACUACAAUAUAAGUCGUUUUAUAAUAUCAAUGAAUCAUUAAUGUUAUUUUUCCUAUUAUACCGAUAAAUAUUUAUUAUUCUCUCUCUUUUCAAUUAUGUCAAUUUAUACUUUCAAUAUCAUUAAUGAAGGACAAUUUUGUAAAACCCUUCAUAGUUUCUCUUUUUUAUACCAUAAUUAUU
RNAcentral lists this long non-coding RNA (5518 nucleotides) under Lathyrus oleraceus (garden pea). RNAcentral's name for it is "Pisum sativum (pea) long non-coding RNA (PSAT_LNC020335)". The record is from RNAcentral. Lineage: Eukaryota; Viridiplantae; Streptophyta; Magnoliopsida; Fabales; Fabaceae.